UACGUAGGCAGCAAGCGUUGUUCGGAGUUACUGGGCGUAAAGGGUGCGUAGGCGGUUGUUUAAGUUUGGUGUGAAAUCUCCCGGCUCAACCGGGAGGGUGCGCCGAAUACUGAAUGACUAGAGCGCGGGAGAGGAGAGUGGAAUUCCUGGUGUAGCGGUGAAAUGCGUAGAUAUCAGGAGGAACACCGGUGGUGUAGACGGCUCUCUGGACCGUAACUGACGCUGAGGCACGAAAGCGUGGGUAGCAAACAGG
This 253-nucleotide ribosomal RNA is filed under the name uncultured bacterium. RNAcentral's name for it is "partial 16S ribosomal RNA". It matches the Rfam family "Bacterial small subunit ribosomal RNA", at positions 524 to 776 of the family's 1533-position model. The record is from RNAcentral.